Gasterosteus aculeatus (three-spined stickleback) is the source of this 1446-nucleotide long non-coding RNA. Lineage: Eukaryota; Metazoa; Chordata; Actinopteri; Perciformes; Gasterosteidae. The record is from Ensembl.
UUUUCCUGUGGAGAUGUGCAAUUCGAGGGGGAUCAGUCCGAGAAUUCCAAAGCUCCUCUGCAUGAUGCUUCUCUUAUAGAGUCCGUCUCAGACGAGCGUCCUGAGCUACCUGAUGAACUGAAUGACUACGCCUUGUCUUGGCUGUUUUCUCCCAAACUCACCGACGUGGUUGGAAAAGUCACUGCGCGUGAGGACCCGAGUCUUACGCCGGAGGACCUCCUGGAGACCUCCAAUGCCUUCAGUGCUCAGCUUAUAAGCCUGAGUCCUCCGCUCUCCCCAUCGAAACCCCCCGACAGGCAUUCCGAGACUAACACGGGGGGCCCGUUUUUGUUGGUAGACCUCCUCUCAAAUGGACUCUCUUGCCUCCCCCCAGAGUCCUCGGGUGAGUUGAACCCACAGGGUGUCAGUGAGGAGCUGGUAGACCUGUCACAAGAGGAGGGGGAGGAGGGGGAGGAGGAGGCAGGUCUCUCCCCCUCACAAAGAAAGGAGACUUUGUCACAUGAAACCAGAGACAAAGGUUCAUUCCCCGAUCAAGUGACCGAUCUGCCUUUAACCUGCAGCCGUAGUCAGCAAGGUUUACCGGAGAACCACCUCCCACCUGACAAAGUCCACACGCCGCCGCGCCGCUUGGAAGGAUCUGUGUCUUUGUUGGACUUAAAGGUUCCGGACUGUGACAGCAGUCUGAGCCUGCGUCCCGCCAGUCCUCCCGCUCUUAUCCGCACAGGUGUGGCGUUGGAUUUAUCAACAGAGGAGUGCGAAGGGGGACACGGGGGAGCUGCCGUGAAUAGAAGUGUGACCUCAGAGCGACGGGGGGAGAAUGACUCAUUUGCGCUGCGUUUGUCGGCUGAAGCUUCGUCGGCUGAACCUUCGUCACUGACGGGGCCUCCGGCUGAAGAUGUCUUCAUCCGGGGGGGUUUCAUUUGCUCUGUGGAAAGUGGGUCCACGGAUUUGAUGGAGGAAAACAUUUGUUCUGAAGCCCAAAAUCAAGGGAAUCAGGCGAUGGCUUUGGAUCUGUGCUUGACCGCGGAAGAGGUGCACGACGAGGAAACUUGGGACCUGAAACCUGGGCCGGAUGUCCAGAACGGGAGUGUCCUCCAUCCGAGCGACGAGGAGAGGACGACGGACGGUGACCGGCUCGACGGGACCGAUUGCCGCGAAGUGGCCUCAUUCGACUUUUCAGUCGAGGAUUUACACGCGUCUUCUCCUGAGGCCGGAUGGACUAGUGAGCAAACUGUGGAGACCAUUUCUCUCUCCAAGAUGGUGGUAGACGACUCGCUGCCAAUGGUCUCGGCUGUGAAUGCGAGGGAGGAAGACGCCUCCCCGCUAAAAGCUGUGUUCGAUGCUUUAGACCAAGACGGAGACGGCUUCGUCCGGAUUGAGGAGUUCAUGGAGUUUGCUGCCGCCUACGGGGCCGAUCAGGUGAGAUGCUAUCGGGUAAUGCAUUAA